This 253-nucleotide ribosomal RNA is filed under the name uncultured bacterium. RNAcentral's name for it is "partial 16S ribosomal RNA". It matches the Rfam family "Bacterial small subunit ribosomal RNA", at positions 524 to 776 of the family's 1533-position model. The record is from RNAcentral.
UACGUAGGGGGCUAGCGUUGUCCGGAAUCAUUGGGCGUAAAGCGCGUGUAGGCGGUCCGGUAAGUCCGCUGUGAAAGUCGGGGGCUCAACCCUCGAAUGCCGGCCGAUACUGCCGGGCUAGAGUCCGGAAGAGGUGAGUGGAAUUCCUGGUGUAGCGGUGAAAUGCGCAGAUAUCAGGAGGAACACCGAUGGCGAAGGCAGCUCACUGGCCCGGUACUGACGCUGAGGUGCGAAAGCGUGGGGAGCAAACAGG